UGCAAGAGUGCUGCCAGUGUAAACAAUUCAAACGCUUCCUCGUCAAAGAUAUCAGUUUAUAGUAUGGGGGGUGAUAACUAUAUGAUACCAACGCCUUACUAAUGUCUGAGUGAUGCCCACAUCGGUAUUUGAGAGCUCCGCUGCGACACAGACAUUCAUUUUAAUUUUAUUUUUUUACAAGCGGAAGAAGCGAUUUGAGUGUCUGCCCCAGAUAGUUUCAUUAGAGACGAUGAAAAUAAUUACCCAGAUGUACUUGAUCCAAUUGAGGAGGAAACGAGGUACAACAUGCAACUUCAAUCGAAGACCUAAAAUCAUGCCUGACAAUAUCACAACGUCAAGAUGUGAUGAGCAACCAAUCCGCUUCACUGCAGGUGCUCAACCCACCACUGUUCUCCCUCCACAAGUAACCACAUCCUCUUCUCCUGUUCAACUACUGUGCCACCACACUAAAAAUGACUGUACAUAUACCCCUGUGCCCAUCUCAGUGUAACAUGAUCCAUCCAAGGCCUCAGCUGGAUACCUGAAAUGUAAGCAAGAUGCUAUAGUAUGUAUGUAUGUAUGUAUGUAUGUAUGUAUGUAUGUAUGUAUGUA
Oncorhynchus masou masou (cherry salmon) is the source of this 591-nucleotide long non-coding RNA. RefSeq lists it as uncharacterized. NCBI's taxonomy places the organism in Eukaryota, Metazoa, Chordata, Actinopteri, Salmoniformes, Salmonidae. The record is from RefSeq and is a predicted model, not a curated record. The transcript is spliced from 3 exons.